AGAGCGAACGCUGGCGGCAGGCCUAACACAUGCAAGUCGAGCGCCCGUAGCAAUACGGGAGCGGCAGACGGGAUAGUAACACGUGGGAACGCGCCCUUCGGUUCGGAAUAACUCAGGGAAACUUGAGCUAAUACCGGAUACGCCCUUACGGGGAAAGAUUUAUUGCCGAAGGAACGGCCCGCGUCCGAUUAGCUAGUUGGUGAGGUAAUGGCUCACCAAGGCUCCGAUCGGUAGCUGGUCUGAGAGGAUGACCAGCAUCACUGGGACUGAGACACAGCCCAGACUCCUACGGGAGGCAGCAGUGGGGAAUAUUGGACAAUGGGCGCAAGCCUGAUCCAGCCAUGCCGCGUGGAUGAUGAAGGCCUUAGGGUUGUAAAGUCCUUUAACGGGAAGAUAAUGACGGUACCCGUAGAAUAAGCCCGGCUAACUUCGCGCCAGCAGCCGC
RNAcentral lists this ribosomal RNA (445 nucleotides) under uncultured bacterium. RNAcentral's name for it is "SSU rRNA". It matches the Rfam family "Bacterial small subunit ribosomal RNA", at positions 26 to 518 of the family's 1533-position model. The record is from RNAcentral.